Molecule: ribosomal RNA, 446 nt
Filed under: uncultured bacterium
Lineage: Bacteria
Description: bacterial SSU rRNA
Rfam family: Bacterial small subunit ribosomal RNA
Source: RNAcentral
AACCAGACUCCUACGGGAGGCAGCAGUGGGGAAUAUUGCACAACGGGGGAAACCCUGAUGCAGCGACGCCGCGUGAGUGAAGAAGUAAUUCGUUAUGUAAAGCUCUAUCAGCAGGGAAGAAAAUGACGGUACCUGAGUAAGAAGCCCCGGCUAACUACGUGCCAGCAGCCGCGGUAAUACGUAGGGGGCAAGCGUUAUCCGGAUUUACUGGGUGUAAAGGGGGCGCAGACGGCAGCGCAAGCCAGGAGUGAAAGCCCGGGGCCCAACCCCGGGACUGCUCUUGGAACUGCGCGGCUGGAGUGCAGGAGGGGCAGGCGGAAUUCCUGGUGUAGCGGUGAAAUGCGUAGAUAUCAGGAGGAACACCGGUGGCGAAGGCGGCCUGCUGGACUGCGACUGACGUUGAGGCCCGAAAGCGUGGGGAGCAAACAGGAUUAGAUACCCGAGUA